Molecule: long non-coding RNA, 519 nt
Filed under: Phoenix dactylifera (date palm)
Lineage: Eukaryota; Viridiplantae; Streptophyta; Magnoliopsida; Arecales; Arecaceae
Description: long non-coding RNA (PDAC_LNC012881)
Source: RNAcentral
GCUAAAACUUUCAUGCAUGAUUAACUAUCAGCUCUGAAAGGUAAACACUCUAUUCUGAUUAAUCUUCGAAUAUCCAUCGAAUGGAUUCUGGAGAUAACUCCGUGAGGAGCCCCAAAGAAGGGUAAAACCUCGGAAAAUCGGACCUAGACCCUAACUCUAAAAUAAAAUAUUGAUGUAGGAUUAAUACCUUUUAUGAUAGAAGAAACUUGUGGAUCAGAUCCUUGACUUCGCAGCCACGCACACGAAUGGCUUCUACGAGAAGUACACGCGAAGUUCCUGAAGAGAUCCAAUCCUGCGGAAGUGCUAGCAUGCGCAGAAUUUCUUGAGGCUGAAAUUUGAUCUUCCCAACACUAUCAACUUUUGAUCUGCCUUCUUGGAAGAACUUGGAGAAAAGGUUUAGAGGGAUUGAAGAGGACUUAGAUCUGAUCUAAAGACUUUUAUCAGGGACCCCUAACACUAAUGGCAUGAAGGUCUUAGUAGAAGAUCAAAUGGCGAGAGAGAAGAAGGUAUGCAGAUUUU